This 124-nucleotide small RNA is filed under the name Marmota monax (woodchuck). The record is from RNAcentral. Lineage: Eukaryota; Metazoa; Chordata; Mammalia; Rodentia; Sciuridae.
GCCAGGCAUGGUGGCGCAUGCCUGUUAUCCCAGCAGCUGGGAGGCUGAGGCAGGAGGAUCAUGAGUUCAAAGCCAGCCUCAGCAACAGCAAGGUGCUAAGCAAUUCAGUGAGACCCUGUCUCUA